RNAcentral lists this ribosomal RNA (497 nucleotides) under uncultured bacterium. Its description in RNAcentral is "bacterial SSU rRNA". It matches the Rfam family "Bacterial small subunit ribosomal RNA", at positions 25 to 518 of the family's 1533-position model. The record is from RNAcentral.
CAGGACGAACGCUGGCGGCGUGCUUAACACAUGCAAGUCGAACGGGGAUCAUUUCGGAAGUCCUUCGGGAUGGAAGGGAUGAUUCGAGUGGCGGACGGGUGAGUAACGCGUGAACAAUCUGUCCCAGACAGGGGGAUAACACUUGGAAACAGGUGCUAAUACCGCAUAAGACCACGGCAUCACAUGGUGCAGGGGUAAAAGGAGCGAUCCGGUUUGGGGUGAGUUCGCGUCCGAUUAGCCAGUUGGCGGGUAACGGCCCACCAAAGCGACGAUCGGUAGCCGAUCUGAGAGGAUGACCGGCCACAUUGGAACUGAGAGACGGUCCAAACUCCUACGGGAGGCAGCAGUGGGGAAUAUUGGGCAAUGGGCCGAAAGCCUGACCCAGCAACGCCGCGUGAGUGAAGAAGGCCUUCGGGUUGUAAAGCUCUGUUAUAGGGGACGAAGGAAGUGACGGUACCCUAUAAGGAAGCCCCGGCUAACUACGUGCCAGCCGCCGC